RNAcentral lists this long non-coding RNA (255 nucleotides) under Elaeis guineensis (African oil palm). Its description in RNAcentral is "long non-coding RNA (EGUI_LNC034688)". Lineage: Eukaryota; Viridiplantae; Streptophyta; Magnoliopsida; Arecales; Arecaceae. The record is from RNAcentral.
UCUAAGAACUCAUCUAGAUGCUUGUAAGGAUCUUCAUUGGUAUUCCCAUAGAAAGAUGGGAGCAUCUAGAUUAUGGUCGACUUGAUCUCAUAAUGGCUUGUAGAGAUAUCUGAUAGGUAGAUACAAGUCAAUGGGUUAUAGGUAGAAGGAAUAAAAUAUUCCUUCAUUUGCCUGGGUGGUUCUCUAGGGUCUCCAGCCAUUUGAUUUUCGGGUUGAGCGUGAAUCAGCCGUUCAAUUUCAGGAUUAGGUUCAAUU